ACCAUGAUUUAAGAACCACAUGAUAUAUCUUCCUUUAUCAUUUUGGUAGUAGUUCUAAGGACUUCAUCAUAACAUAUCAGUUCUAUUUUGAAAGAUGUAUUCUUUAUGAUAAAUCUAUCAGAUAAAAUUUAUCAUUUUAUAAUUCAUAUACUGGUAUAGAACAUAAUCAUCUACAACCUAGAUGAUUGGCUUUAGGACAU
This 200-nucleotide long non-coding RNA is filed under the name Elaeis guineensis (African oil palm). RNAcentral describes it as "long non-coding RNA (EGUI_LNC052386)". Lineage: Eukaryota; Viridiplantae; Streptophyta; Magnoliopsida; Arecales; Arecaceae. The record is from RNAcentral.